Molecule: non-coding RNA, 114 nt
Filed under: Erinaceus europaeus (western European hedgehog)
Lineage: Eukaryota; Metazoa; Chordata; Mammalia; Eulipotyphla; Erinaceidae
Source: Rfam by way of RNAcentral
AGUUCAGCAUCACUACAUUGACCUCCUGGGAGUGGGGGACCACCAGGUUGCCUAAGGAGGGGUGAACCAGCCCAGGUUGGAAAUGGAGCAGGUCAAAACUCCCGUGCUGAUCGG